UACGUAGGGUGCAAGCGUUGUUCGGAAUUACUGGGCGUAAAGCGCGUGUAGGCGGCUAUGUAAGUCGGGCGUGAAAUCCCACGGCUCAACCGUGGAAGUGCACCCGAAACUGCGUAGCUAGAGUCCUGGAGAGGAAGGUGGAAUGCUUGGUGUAGAGGUGAAAUUCGUAGAUAUCAAGCGGAACACCGGUGGCGAAGGCGGCCUUCUGGACAGUGACUGACGCUGAGACGCGAAAGCGUGGGGAGCAAACAGG
Molecule: ribosomal RNA, 253 nt
Filed under: uncultured bacterium
Lineage: Bacteria
Description: partial 16S ribosomal RNA
Rfam family: Bacterial small subunit ribosomal RNA
Source: RNAcentral